CAGUCGCCGCGGUAAUACAGAGGGUGCGAGCGUUAAUCGGAUUUACUGGGAGUAAAGCGUGCGUAGGCGGCUAAUUGAGUCGGAUGUGAAAUCCCCGAGCUUAACUUGGGAAUUGCAUUCGAUACUGGUUAGCUAGAGUGUGGGAGAGGAUGGUAGAAUUCCAGGUGUAGCGGUGAAAUGCGUAGAGAUCUGGAGGAAUACCGAUGGCGAAGGCAGCCAUCUGGCCUAACACUGACGCUGAGGUACGAAAGCAUGGGGAGCAAACAGGAUUAGAUACCCGAGUAGUCCCUGUCUCUUAUAA
RNAcentral lists this ribosomal RNA (301 nucleotides) under uncultured bacterium. Its description in RNAcentral is "partial 16S ribosomal RNA". It matches the Rfam family "Bacterial small subunit ribosomal RNA", at positions 509 to 809 of the family's 1533-position model. The record is from RNAcentral.